UGGGGAAUUUUCCGCAAUGGGCGCAAGCCUGACGGAGCAAUACCGCGUGAGGGAGGAAGGCCUUUGGGUCGUAAACCUCUUUUAUUGGGGAAGAAGCACUGACGGUACCCAAUGAAUCAGCAUCGGCUAACUCCGUGCCAGCAGCCGCGGUAAUACGGAGGAUGCAAGCGUUAUCCGGAAUUAUUGGGCGUAAAGCGUCCGCAGGUGGUUAAUCAAGUCUGCUGUUAAAGCGUGCGGCUUAACCGCAUAUCGGCAGUGGAAACUGGUUGACUAGAGUUCGGUAGGGGUCACGGGAAUUCCCAGUGUAGCGGUGAAAUGCGUAGAUAUUGGGAAGAACACCAGCGGCGAAAGCGCGUGACUGGGCCUGAACUGACACUGAGGACGAAAGCUAGGGGAGCAAAGGGAUUAGAUACCCUGUA
RNAcentral lists this ribosomal RNA (419 nucleotides) under uncultured cyanobacterium. RNAcentral's name for it is "bacterial SSU rRNA". It matches the Rfam family "Bacterial small subunit ribosomal RNA", at positions 355 to 792 of the family's 1533-position model. The record is from RNAcentral. Lineage: Bacteria; Bacillati; Cyanobacteriota.